GCAAGUUGUUAUGGAUGCAUUCUCAGAUGGGAGCAGUUUUAUUUGUUUGCAAUGUGGGGGUCUUGUCAGUAACAACCGCAAAGAUGAGCAUUAUGCAUAUUGGUGUGCCCAGAUCUAACUUGUAUUUGUGUAUCAAUCCUCAUUCUUGUCUUACCUGCCGAAAAAAUCCUCCAGAACUUGUAUUUGUGUCUUUCUAUUUGUACAUGGCACAGCUGCUUUUAUACUGGCGCGCCCCAGUUGUUGAUGCUAGCAAGCUAAGGUUUUAAACGGGUGUCGCCAAUUGAUGCCA
This 289-nucleotide unclassified non-coding RNA is filed under the name Hevea brasiliensis (rubber tree). Lineage: Eukaryota; Viridiplantae; Streptophyta; Magnoliopsida; Malpighiales; Euphorbiaceae. The record is from RNAcentral.